Molecule: long non-coding RNA, 1418 nt
Filed under: Volvox carteri
Lineage: Eukaryota; Viridiplantae; Chlorophyta; Chlorophyceae; Chlamydomonadales; Volvocaceae
Description: long non-coding RNA (VCAR_LNC003372)
Source: RNAcentral
GUACUUCGAUCGUUUGCGAUACAUUUCGCUUUUUUAGAGCCGUAACUUGUCGCAUGGCGGCAUUUCUUUGCUGGCGUCUUAAAUCGUAAGCGUAGGCACAGAAUACAGUACUUUUCGCGACGGUGGAAACACGCGGGGCCAACCAACCAAGCAGCUUUGGGGCCCAAACAACUCGUUGAAGGCGGCCUGCACGCUGCGAACAGUCAAGUGCGCAGCUCAACUACCUGUACCUGAAGCACGGCAGCAGCUGGCAGCAACAGCAGCAGCUAGAAGCGAGAAGCGAGAGGUUUGCUGAGCGACCAAAUCUAAGACCGCUAGAACAUCACGACGUCUUGCUUGCACUAAUGACCUUACACGCUUUAUUGCAAGUACUCGCGACGACCAUUUACGGGCAGACCUACGGCAACAUUCGGAGCUUAUAUUGCGACAGCUUGAUAUCAAUUCAAAUCCAACAGCUAAAAUGCAUGCAGGUUAUCAUAAACUUGCAGCGACACAAGGGUCUUCGCAGGCCUUCAUACCUCUGCUGGCUGCGGUUGAUUUAACUGCAACGUCAUCUAGUUACGUUAUACCACUUUGAAAGGUAAACACAUCGUUUCUAACCAAUCUCGGAGCAAAAACAUGAAAACUCAUGCCAUCAUGACAGCCGUGACGUCUGGUUCUCUCUCUCACCUUCUCCACAGAAUUACAUAACGAUUGUUCUAACUGCUUUUCUCCUCAAAAGUGCUGCUUAGAAACGGUUUGAAUUUUUUACCUAGGUUUGGACGUUACGGGUGAAGUUCUUGAAGCUAGAGACGAGACCGCGGCAUCGCACGAUUAAAACAUCGAUCGGUUAAUGAAGGAGAUCCGGGCGCGGCUUGAUGAUGUGUGAGAGGCUGCAGCUGGCUCUCACACAGCUGGCGGUGAUUGUUUCUGACAUAAGGGGGGUCAGAUGUGGGUUUUCAGAUGUGCCGCGAUACCUGCGAUGGAUGGGCCAAUCCAAGCCCUACGAAGGCUAUAUUUUGCCGAAACAGCACAUCACACUGAUGUGCAUUACGAUGCUUGUUUGGCCGCUGGCUGGCAACCGACCGCAGGGCAGGGAGCGUGCAUCGCGGUGGUGUCGGGUUUGUGACGGUCGAUCGUCAGGCAAUCGAUUGAAGACGAGCGAUACGUGUUGUUGCUCGAAUGUCACUGAAAUGAAAAAAGCAAACAUACGUCCUGACCUUUGGAGCUUAGGCCCUGUGCCAGGGUUCUGCCAUGGAUGCUGCGGAGAUGGGUGUUGAGGACCAACGCGCGCGGGCUAGCGCACGUCCUGGAUUGCAUACGGAGACGUAAGUUGGAGUACAUGAACGGCUAAUGCGGCUCAUGAGACCUUUUUCUAUUACUAUAUAUUUUAUCUUUUCUCCUUAUUUUGCUCAAGAAGCUUGUAAUAAAAAGCGUCA